This 72-nucleotide transfer RNA is filed under the name Camelus bactrianus (Bactrian camel). It matches the Rfam family "tRNA". Rfam says of the family: Transfer RNA (tRNA) molecules are approximately 80 nucleotides in length. Their secondary structure includes four short double-helical elements and three loops (D, anti-codon, and T loops). Further hydrogen bonds mediate the characteristic L-shaped molecular structure. tRNAs have two regions of fundamental functional importance: the anti-codon, which is responsible for specific mRNA codon recognition, and the 3' end, to which the tRNAs corresponding amino acid is attached (by aminoacyl-tRNA synthetases). tRNAs cope with the degeneracy of the genetic code in two manners: having more than one tRNA (with a specific anti-codon) for a particular amino acid; and 'wobble' base-pairing, i.e. permitting non-standard base-pairing at the 3rd anti-codon position. The record is from Rfam by way of RNAcentral. RNAcentral also lists the same sequence under 3 other names. Lineage: Eukaryota; Metazoa; Chordata; Mammalia; Artiodactyla; Camelidae.
GGAGGGUGUGUUCAGCGGUAGAGCGCAUGCUUAGCAUGCACGAGGUUCUGGGUUCAAUCCCCACUCCCUCCU